GUCUGCAUAGUUCAACGCAAGAACGCUCUGUCUGCCAAACAGAAUAACGACGGUUCAACUCCGUCAGCAGACC
RNAcentral lists this transfer RNA (73 nucleotides) under Ruminococcus sp. RNAcentral describes it as "tRNA-Gly". It matches the Rfam family "tRNA". From Rfam's summary of the family: Transfer RNA (tRNA) molecules are approximately 80 nucleotides in length. Lineage: Bacteria; Bacillati; Bacillota; Clostridia; Eubacteriales; Oscillospiraceae. The record is from RNAcentral.